ACCAAUUCCGGCGGAUAUAAUGUUCCUCCUGGAUAAUGGCUCGGACGCUAUAUUUAUGUUGUGGUCAUCCUGACUUAUGGUUUCUUCAAUAUCGUUUGAUCUUGGAAACGCCACCGAUAUUU
Lupinus angustifolius (narrow-leaved blue lupine) is the source of this 122-nucleotide non-coding RNA. The record is from Rfam. Lineage: Eukaryota; Viridiplantae; Streptophyta; Magnoliopsida; Fabales; Fabaceae.